AGGAGCCUGCCCUCUUGAGCUCUUGUGGUGACCUGGGAAUCAAUGUGUGAGGUGGUGCUAUGUAGCAGGAACCCCUCUUGCUUUGCAAAUAGUUUUUUGUUUGUUUUCCUUUUUGCCCAAUAGAGCCCUGCUCUACUGACCCUUCAAUGUGCCCGUGUGCCUAAAUAUUCCUGGUCGUGUGAAAAGAACCCAGGUAUUAGCUGAACUAAGGAGCACAAUUCUGCAACAUUUUGGCACCCAAACACGGGGCUUGAGAAAUGAAUGCAAUUGGAGAAACUGGUUGUUUUACCAGGCGUUGAUUGGAAAUGUGUGCUUCCCUUUAAGCAGUCAAGCUCAACUUGCAGAACUGAUGGGAACCCCUUGGGAAAACUGGCCUCAAAUGUUUGUCUACACAGUCCACAUACAGGGUUCUUAACCUGCGAUGAGGGAAACUUCCCAGGGCUUGUCUGGGUAUGCCCACAGUGGACUGGAGCCCAAAAUGCACACUGGAGGAAGUGGAUGGAGCCACGUGGAUGUCAUGCCUUAUGCAGGGGAGGAGCCUGCUCUCUUCAGCUCCUGUGGUAAUGUGGGAAUCGAUCUGUGAGGAAACACUUUCUGAAAAUGUCAGAACUCUUGAAAACAUGGAUGAGGAAAAGCAUAAGUACUGCUUUAUGCUUUUCUUAUGAAUUUUAAAAGAUGUAAUUUAAAGAUUGAAACUCCCACAACUUUGGCAGACCAACUCCUCAGAAAACAUUAUUCUUUGACAUCAAUAUGUUUUGCACAAAAUUGAAUGGCAAGUGAAAGGCAUCAAAUGGUGAGAAUCUAGAAAAUAGUGCAUGUACGGGAAGGCUUUGCUCAAUACAAAUCACUUGCAUGGGACAGUCUUCUUUAGUGAGUUUAUUAUAUACGGGAACAGAGAGGUAAUAUGAAAUGGAAUAUGGAAUAUGGCACUAGCAAGCACAAAUAUUCAAAUAUGUGGAGGAACAACUGGAUGUGAUAAAACACUAUAAAAAAAAUAGAGAGAAAAAUGACAGUAGGAAAAAGACUGUAUAUAUUUUUUGAGAAUAAAAGAUAGUUUCAUUUCAUUGGUGGACAUGAGAUGAGUUGAUGCAGCAUGCAGGUGGAUACCAUUUUUUUCAAAGAAAAUAUGAACAGAGUCUCAAAUAAAUAACAAAUGUUUAUAUGUGGGUUUCAAGGACAGAGAAUAAUAAAAUAACCAAAUAUACAUAAUGUUCCAGUAAAAUGAUCCAUCAGGGCUUACAGAAAGCGUAACUAGAGAGAGACAUUAACUUGCAGAUGAUUUGUUUCUGGCUAAUGUUGUGACAGGAGUGUAGCAUUUCCUUUCUUCUCAGUUUCCUAUCUCACUUACCUUUUGAAAAGACAUGAUUCCAUAUUAUAUUUAUUCUGUUUCUCUCUUUCUUUAUUCAUUUACCCUACUUUACUGAAAAAUCUCAAACAUCAUAGAAACAUGCAUGUCUUGGUUCUCCAAGUUUGAAAGGAAAAUAAUGUAGAAAGCUCUGUUUUUUUUGCCCUGGCAUUUAUAUACUCUCCAAUCUCACUACUCCCAUAUCACUCUUCUACCUCUCUUAGAGCAAAAUUGCCUCUUAAAAAAGGACAUUGCACCCAGCAUGGUGGCUCAUGCCUGUAAUCCCACAACUUUGGGAAAUUGCGCCAGUGCACUCCAGUCUGGGAGACAGAGCGAGACUCCAUCUAAAAAAAAAAAAAAAAAAAAAGUACAUUGCUGAUUCCAUUUCAGCAUCACUCAAUUACCAUUCUCUAACUGUCUCUGAUUUGUCUUUACCAAAAGCCACAUCUGGCAUAAUUGGCAAAAGACUUUUUUUUUUUCCCCACCAUUCCAAUGAACACAAAAAUGACAUUCUCAACAUCAAAUCAAAUGAUCACAUUUUUAUUCAUAUUUUACUCCAACUGAAAUGAAGGAUAUAACUAAUUUGUCCAUUUUUCUUUAAGCACAUAUCUGUAUUCAUUUUGAUAACCCAGCACUCUUGAUUGUUCCCUUACUGAAUGUUUGUCUCUUAGUAUCCUUUGCCCAUUCUACUCCUUUAAAAAAACUGUUGCAGUAACCAAAGAGUUAUUUUUGAUUCCACUUCUUUGUCAAACUAAAGUCAGCUCUUUGAGGCUUCUGGAUUUUGAUAUUAAAUAUGUGUUUAGCAGUUCAAAUUUUAUAUAUGUAUAUUCUAGCUCAGAUCCAGAAAUCUAUUUCCUUCUUAUCAUUCUCACUUGGAUUCCUCAAGCAAUUUAACAUGCUCUAAAUAUUUCUUCCAUGUUUAUUUAGGUUUCAACUCUACAUACAGAAUAGACUAAUUUAAUAAUUUUAUACAAUCCUUGGCCUUUUACUUUAUAUGAUCUUCUACAUCCAAUAGAAGGUUGUUCAGUUAAACCUUAAAAACCUAUCGCACACUUUUUAAUUCUCUGAAUUUUCAUCAACACCACGGUAGAAACCUCCUCAAUACAGAGUUUUGUAAUAAUUGCUCUUUAAAUUCCCACCAUGAUAUGUUACUAUAUAUUCUGCUCAGAAUGAAAAGGUUCACUAUAAAACAUGGUUUAAAAAAACAAACAUUGAUUUCUCUGCUUCAGGAGUUUCCUUUCCUAUGGUAGAUGAAACUAGGUACAAUAAUUUGUUGUUUGUUUUGGAGAGCUGUCAAGGCAUGCUCCAUGGCCUCUGAAACUAGGUAGAUUGUAUCACAUACACUCCAGACCAACAUACUUGCUACUUUCUGAUUUGAUUGGAUUAACACGAUGUCAACAAUAUAGUGGAACAAUGUGAUAUUCUUGUCAGGUACAGUCUCUUUGGACUAUGUCAGACAAAUGGCAUGAGAGUUAACAUAGUCCUCGAGCUAAUUCAUAAAUGUAUAUUGUUACCAUUUUACAUAAAUGUAAUCGUUGAUGCCCUUAUUUUCUCAGAGGGGUGGGGGAAAAUUGCUAUUCCCACAUUAAUGUCUGUAUGUUAGUGAAUCUGAGUGAGUGCCAAUCUACUUGAGCAAAUAAACAUCUGGAAUAGCAGCUGUAAUUGGAUCUAUGAUUUUCUUGAAUUUGCAUUCAUUUACUUUUAUUCUCCAGAGUGCUUUUGUAAGGGUCACACUGGUAAAUCAAAAAGAGGAUGUAAUGAGGGAAUAUCACCUGUGUCAUUUUUUCAAGAAUAUCCAAUCUCAUAUUUUCCCCUGCCACACAAUACUAUAUUACUUUUGACACAAUAUGUUGAGUAGGAAGCAGCACUUAUUGAUAAUUCUACUUGCCCUUCUUCACUACUGCAGAUCUCACCCUACUAACCAAGGAACAAAUAUGAACAUUUUUUUCAGCUGACAGAAUAUAAUGUUUAUUCCAAUUAUACAUUUGUGAAAAAGGGAAGUGAAAAUAAGUCUUUUGAGCCAGUGGACCCAUUGUAAGCCCAAACUAUGCUAGGACAUUAUUUAUUACUUGAAGUCUCAUUAGCUGCAUUCUUAAAGGUGGAUCUCUUUGUAUCAAUCCUCAAAAUAUCAGGGUAUUAAAACAAUAAAAGUUAAUACUUAUUCUUUGUAUAUUUCUACUGCUGGUCCUCAAGGGGCUCUGCUCAUUGUAAUCAAAUAGGCACCAAAGGUGCAGCAGUCCCCAGCAUCUUUCCCUGUAGCCUUUGUGGUAUUGGGUAUCAGUGUUUGUCACGACGAAGGAGGACAACUUAGAGAAUUGUGCCCCUGCUGUUAGACGGAGUCUGACAAAAUCCAGACACAUAACUGUUUUAUGAGUAAAUUGCCAAUGCCAAUCACAUGAUCUAAAAUUAAUAUGGUGGGUACCAAAGGAGAGGCAGACUAUGUGUGUUAGUGAGAUCUGAUAGUGUCUGCCACAACACUUAAUAAUUUUUGGAGAAUUUUACCAUGGGCUUGACAUUUGAAUAUUCAAUUUAAACUACUUAUUUAUGAAAUAGUUAUAGGAAUAAUUAGGAACUUUAUGGCAACUCUAUGUUUUAAUUAACUUUCUAAGUGGUGAAAGAGUGAAUUAUUCAUAAAUUACUUCUGGAAACAGGACUCUUCUAAAAAGCAUGUAAGGGAACUUGAAGCAGCAUCUCAAUUUGUGCAAUAUGAUAAAGAAAAAAAACUGUGGGAUCCAGAAAACAAUACACAAUUACUUUUAUUUAUGGCUACCAGAACUUCAGGAAACCGACUAAUGUUUGUGCACAUAAUGUUUUUAUUAUGGAUCUAUCUGGGGCAUAUUGAACAUACAGUGCCCUCAAAAAUGGUCAGUUUUACUCAUGCCCAAUCCCAUAUAUUUUUUAGGGUAAUUUUUCUGGUCCAGUUAAGUUAGACCAGGACAUUUUCACUUGACAAAUCUGAGUAAACUUCUCUGGAAAAAAUUGUUUUUGACCAUUCGCCUAGAAUGAAUCUCUGGGUAAGGAAGAUGCAUAUAGUCGUAUAAUUUACUGUAGUUAUUUUGACACCUUUUCUUAACGACACACCACAGAUUUAUUGCUGGAUAUUUUUUUCCUUCCUAAGCCACUUGCCAUAUAGUUCUACUCUUCUCUAGCUCUAGGGAGGCUUCCUCAUACAGACUAGGUCAACAGAUUCCAUUCCACUGGCUCGUGGAUGGGUUUGGCUACCGAGAAGCAGUUAAGAGAAGAUCAGAAUUAUAGGGAGCAGGGAGUAGGAAAAGGUGAAGAAUUUAUUUUCCUGCUUCCCUGCUGAUCCCCUCCCAGGCUCCUACAUGUUGGUCACAUUUCUCUACCAAAUGGUAGUUCCUGUGGGGUUCUUGUAAAUUCACCUUCCUCUUUCCAUAGAGACAAAAGCUCCCUGCUUUCAUUCACCUUCGAGUACUGCAAACUUUUUUUUUUUUUUUUUUUUUCUGAGAUGGAGUCUCACUCUGUCGCCCAGGCUGGAGUGCAGUGGCACGAUCUCGACUCACUGCAAGCCCCGCCUCCCGGGUUCCCGCCAUUCUCCUGCCUCAGCCUCCCGAGUAGCUGGGACUACAGGCGUCCGCCACCAUGCCCGACUAAUUUUUUGUAUUUUUAGUAGAGACGGGGUUUCAUCGUGUUAGCCAGAAUGGUCUCGAUCUCCUGACCUCGUGAUUCGCCAGCCUCGGCCUCCCAAAGUGCUGGGAUUACAGGCGUGAGCCACCACGCCCAGCCGGGUACUGCAAACAUUUAAACAUUUUAAACGUUCCUCGAAGACAAUUUUUCCUUCCAGGACAAUGACUGAUACACCUUCUUAAGCUUACAACUGCAAAUAAGUCUCUGCCUAACAUAGCAUCUCUGCUAUACAGCCGGGAAUGUACUCCUACUCAAUGGGAUGGCUACACAAUGAAAUCAAUGAGUGACUGCACUUAAAAAAUGCCCAUUACAAUAUGAGCUAUGUCUUCCUGAAGGUGGCCUUUUAAUGUCAAAUGAGAUAAAGUAUGUAAAAAUGUUUUAUAAAUUUUAAAAUGUGAUAAAUAUUAUUUUGUGUGGAUGAUAAAUGUAGCUAUGGGUUCUAUUGACUGAAAGAUAAGCACUGCUCCUUCAUGAAUCAAACCAUUAAUUCCUGAUGGUGUUUAAUUAUUAUCGAACAUAUUUUUCUUCACAGGAGCUGUCAUUUAAAUGUGCUUGCCAACUAGCUUGUUUAUCAAAACAUUCCAGACCCUUUCAAAUUCUCAUUUACAUUGUUUCUUGUUUACCACACCCAUAAAUUUGUAUUACCAGCAUAUUUAACUAUCCGGCUAUUUUGGAGAUUGAAAAAAGAAGACCUGAUUUAUCAUGUGCAAUAUCUCACACAUCUGUCAUUUCUAUUCUACCGCAAUUCGGUGAGUUCAGCCUCUUUUUACUUCAUGUUUGAAUAAUCGCAAUAGAUUUUAUACUGUUCUCACUGCUAAACUUGCUCCCCCUAUUACCCUACAGACACUCAUAUUCAUCUUGCAUAAUACCACCAGAUUAUUCUUUGUCCAUCUAUUUUCCUAGAUAUUUGUCCUCCACUUUCCUGUCUUUUUUUCUGCACUUCAUUCUACCCAUCUUAGUGAAUAGACAUCUUUUCAACUCUCUCAGGCUAUAUAUACAUCAAUUUUUCAAAAUCCAAGUAAAACUUCACGUCCUUGAGAGAAUUUUAGAGAGCGUGUAAUACCUACAUUUUUUUUUACCAUUUAUUAGGAAUAUAUCUCAGCCCCAGUUAUGUGAUUAUUACAUAUUAUAGUAUAUUAAUGUUUGCAAACUCCUUGUAAAAUCAUACACACCCCAUACUGCUAUAUUCAUUUCAAUAGCAAAACAGUUUCUUUUCAAUUUUGUAAUAAAUAUAUUAAGAUCCUGUCCUCCUCCAGGCCAAUUUUCUUCCCCUAUAUUUAAAGUGCUCUGAUGGAGGUAACUUAUUAAUAAUUUGAGCCUAAAACAGCUUUUCAAAUAUGCAUUUCAUUUUUGCACACCAAGCUGGUGUGUGCCUGCAGGCGCUAUUUCUAUUAAGUGAACAGCUGGAUAUUGUGUAGUGGAUUGACCAGGUGUUUGAGUGAACUCAUUAGUCACCAUAUAGAAGCAACUUAAAAGAAUGAGUCACAGUGAUAGUCAUCUCACUUUGGGAAAAGGAAAAGAAAUAAAUAAAAAUGUUUCAUAUCUAUCAGACAGCCACAAAGCACAGUCCCUAUCAACAGGAGCAAAUUCAAAUAAAAAUGGCCCCACCAUACAUAUUUUAUUUGAUUUACAUCUAGCACUGAAGAUAUACUUUAUGAAUUUUUCCUUUAUUCUGACAGUCAUAAAAUAAACGGAGGUGAAUCAUAUAACUUUUGAAUAUCUACAUAGCCAGAGAUAAACUCUGCAUAUUAAAUAUCUUCCAAUAUUACAUCUACCAAAAAACAUAGCAGAGGUCAUAUUUAUGUUGCAACUGAGAAAACACUCAAAUUAUUUAAAGAGAAAAUUUAAAUACUUUACUAAAAUUCACAUUAAAUUCUGAAUUUUACAUGGGUUUAUGUGGCUCUACCAUUCAUACUGUUGAACUUCUGAGUUAUUAAUAUUUACAAAUAACCCAUGUUCUUUCAAAUGAUUCCAAUGCUUACAGAAACACAUAUAAAAGUACAUACAAUGAAAUAAAACUGUGGCAAUGUAGAAAAAUGAAAACUAUAAUAUGACAACGCAAUGAAGCCAGAGUUAAUGUGAGCACAUGAAAUGAAAUCCUAACAUUUUCUCUUCAGCUUUGUCUCUGUGUCUUACUAUGCUAAUGUAGGUAAUAAGCAGUAUUGAUAGCUGGAAGAAGUAAAUUAGCACAUGAAAAGAACCUUGAUUAUUAUUUGUGCAAUUCCUGGAGUCCACUGAUACUUACCAACUCUUAAAGCUUAGAUCUAGGGUAUCCAAACACUGCUUCCUUUCCAAGAAGGAAACAUACAAAAAAACUAAGGCAGCAUGCUCUAAUUCUUUUUUUCUUUUUUUUCUUUUUUAGAUGGAGUCUUGUUCUGUGGUCCAGGCUAGAGGGCAGUGGCAUGAUCUCGGCUCACUACAAGCUCUGCCUCCCGGGUUCACGCCAUUCUCCUGCCUCAGCCUCCUGAGUAGCUGGGACUACAGGCGCCCGCCACCACGCCUGGCUAAUUUUUUGUAUAUUUACUAGAGAUGGCUAGUGUUAGCCAAGAUGGUCUCGAUCUCCUGACCUCGUGAUCUGCCCACCUCAGCCUGCCAAAGUGCUGGGAUUACUGGCGUGAGCCACCGUGCCUGGCCAGCAUCCUCUAAUUAUUAUUCAUAGUUUGUGAAUUUAGGCCUACGUGAAUAAUAAUAUAAUAUUUACUAUGAUGUUACUAUCUACCAACCUUAUUUUUCUUUUCUAUAAAAUAGGAGCCAAAAUAAUAUUUAUGUCAUACCUUAUGAAGUUAAAAUAAAAUAUAACGAAUGAGGGGCUUAACAAUGAGUGUCAUUUUGUAAUUACUUUGUACCAUUAUUAAUUGCUGAGACAGAAUAUGGUAUCACUAGUCAUCUGUAUCUAUUGCACAACUUUAUUUUGAUUCAUUCCUUACUAUUUUGCAUAGAUAGGCCUAAAUUUUUGAUCCACUGCUCAACUCCUGUCUUUAAACCAUUGGUUCUCAAAUAGAGUUGAUUUUGACACCUAGGGAACAUUUGACAACAUAUGGAGAUAUUGUUGAUUUUACAGGGCAACCCUUCAUAAGCACAGAAUUAUCUGGCCCCAAAUGUCGACAGUGUCAAGUUCGAGAAACUCUGCACUAGGCUUUUCUGUCUGGUUACUCACCCCUCUUCUUUGCACUGCCCCCAGUUUUAUGGAUAUUGAAUUCCUGAUUUCUCACUAUAUUAAUUGCACUUAUAGAUAUUCUAAAUUGAUUUGUAUAUAUCUUCCUAGUUUGACCCAUUGCUUUUAACUGAAUUUUACUGGGCUUUUAUAAAGGCCAUUUCCAUGGAGUUUAGUCAUUAUCUUCACCAAAUUUUUAUUUGCUUCAGUCUGGGGAGGAACUCUAUAUUAAAAAAUAAAAACAAACCCAAAAACUAAUUUAUGAAAGACAUUUUAUAAUGUAAUUACUUAAACAUUUUUUUUCUUCUUUCUCAUACGAUCUUUUAAAUUCAGUGAGUGACAUGUGGUUUUCAGGCUGGGUCAGGAAGUUUGCUUGGACGGGGAAAUUCUGUCUGCUGAGACACUAGGGGAGCAAAUGCCUAUGUGGGCACAGGCUGGUCACUGACCUCCUAGGGUUCCCUGACAAUAAAUUAGUCCUAGUUGAGGUCGCCAUCAUCAGAACUUAAUUGGUCCCUGGUACUGGUGAAUCUCUGCACCACAGAGACUAAUCAGUUACAGAACUCAGCUUCUGGGCAUAGGCAACCUUUUCUGUUUUUUCAAUUUUUUGUCAGCAAAGUUGAGAAAAUGAACACACUCAAACAGCCCAUUUCUUAGCUUAUCAAUAUCCGUACCCACUUCUUUCCCUCAUCAACAUGUAUUUUCCAUAUUUUGUUGGUAUUAACCUCUGACACUCAUCCACACAAGAAAGUCUACAAAGCCUAAACUAACUUUUAAACAUUAUUUAAGGUAAUAGCUUUGUCUUCCACCAGAAACCUGGCGACAUUUUUAAAAGGAUUUGAAGAGAUAUAUACCCGAGGGACAGAGAGAAAAAUUAGUGCUGACCAGUCUGGGCCUACUUGACUAACACAAAAUAGAUUAAAUUAAUAAAAACAAGAUGUUCUGCAUUUAUAAACAUGUUAACUCUUUUUAAUGUGUAUGACUCAUUAAUGAGUUCAUAAUUAGAUUUUGAAGGAUUUCAUUCUGGACCUUGCAGAUUGUAUGUAUCUUUCUGGUAAAUUAGGAAGUAUAAUUUUUCAAUAAAAAAGCUCACUGGAAACCCCUGUAACAAGUAAUAAAUAUUUAAAAUUUGCAGAAAUGUUUACUUAUUCAAUAAAUACUGACUCCACAUUAAGAAAUGCUAGAGAUAAAGCAUUUCUAAAGGCAAAUUCUACUGUUUCCUGGUUUUACAUUCUAGAUUUUAAGACAAAGAUGGCUGCCUUGAAAUUUUAGUUAUGUGAAAGAAAUUUCGUAAUGAUAUAACUUUUUCUUACUCUGACUCUGUGAGACUUUUGUUUAUAUUUUAUGAAACUAUUUCUAUAGCACAUGUUAUAUAAAUAUAUUUGAGAAAUCAUUUUUAGCUUUCAGAAAUUAGUUUGCUUAAUACAUUUUAAUUUUAAUAAAGCUCCAUUCCUCUAGUCCUUUCAUAUCUGGAAUAUAUUUCCUAUACAAUAUCUUCUAUAUUAUUUAAUACUGCUGUUUUUUAAAAGAGAAAUUGAAACCUUUUACUCAUAUAUACCAGACUUCCAAAACUGUCUUGGUUUGAAAAUCAGUUCUCCAAAAUACUUUCUCUAACUUAACUUUAUAUCUUAGGUGCAAAUACAAUCCUGAUAAAUACUAUAGUCAGGCAUUUUAAAAACUUUAUGUUUCCCAUAUACUCAGCAGAGUAUCAUCUUCUUGCCCUUUCCCUCACUAUGGUAUCCUUCAAGAACUUAUUAGCUCAAAUUCCAAAUCCUCAAUGAAACAAUCAUCUAUCAAUUUCAUAAUUCACUGUUUUAUUCAAUAAAUAUUUAGUGAAUGAUUUCUGUGUGUCAGGAGUGUAUUGGGAGCUUGGGGACAAAGUGGUGGGCUAGAUAGGCAU
This 10044-nucleotide long non-coding RNA is filed under the name Homo sapiens (human). Its description in RNAcentral is "HSALNT0085727". The record is from RNAcentral. Lineage: Eukaryota; Metazoa; Chordata; Mammalia; Primates; Hominidae.